Molecule: ribosomal RNA, 449 nt
Filed under: uncultured bacterium
Lineage: Bacteria
Description: bacterial SSU rRNA
Rfam family: Bacterial small subunit ribosomal RNA
Source: RNAcentral
UCGAGAAUCAUUCGCAAUGGGCGAAAGCCUGACGAUGCGACGCCGUGUGAGCGAUGAAGGCCUUCGGGUCGUAAAGCUCUUUCGCUUGGGAACAAGAGAAGCUGACUAACAUUCAGCUAAUUUGAGGGUACCAGGUAAAGAAGCACCGGCUAACUCCGUGCCAGCAGCUGCGGUAAUACGGAGGGUGCAAGCAUUAAUCGGAUUUAUUGGGCGUAAAGGGCGCGUAGGCGGGCGUGAAAGUCUUGUGUGAAAUCCUGGGGCUCAACCCCAGAACAGCACGGGAAACUACACAUCUUGAGGGUAGGCGGAGAAAACGGAAUUCCACAAGUAGCGGUGAAAUGCGUAGAUAUGUGGAAGAACACCGGUGGCGAAGGCGGUUUUCUAGCUUACUCCUGACGCUGAGGCGCGAAAGCAAGGGGAUCAAACAGGAUUAGAUACCCCCGUAGUCC